GUGCCAGCCGCCGCGGUAAUACGGAGGGCGCAAGCGUUACUCGGAAUCACUGGGCGUAAAGAGAGUGUAGGCGGGUAAUUAAGUUGGAAGUGAAAUCCUAUGGCUCAACCAUAGAACUGCUUCCAAAACUGAAUACCUAGAAUAUGGGAGAGGUAGAUGGAAUUUCUGGUGUAGGGGUAAAAUCCGUAGAGAUCAGAAGGAAUACCGAUUGCGAAGGCGAUCUACUGGAACAUUAUUGACGCUGAGACUCGAAAGCGUGGGGAGCAAACAGGAUUAGAUACCCUGGUAGUCCACGCCCUAAACGAUGUACAUUAGUUGUUGCCAUGCUAGACAUGGCAGUAAUGCAGUUAACACAUUAAAUGUACCGCCUGGGGAGUACGGUCGCAAGAUUAAAACUCAAAGGAAUAGACGGGGACCCGCACAAGCGGUGGAGCAUGUGGUUUAAUUCGACGAUACGCGAAGACCCUUACCUGGCCUUGACAUAGAUAGAAUAUACCAGAGAUGUAUUAGUGCUAGUUUACUAGAACUAUCAUACAGGUGCUGCACGGCUGUCGUCAGCUCGUGUCGUGAGAUGUUGGGUUAAGUCCCGCAACGAGCGCAACCCUCGUGUUUAGUUGCUAACAGAUAAUGCUGAGGACUCUAGACAGACUGCCUGGGCAACCAGGAGGAAGGUGAGGACGACGUCAAGUCAUCAUGGCCCUUACGGCCAGGGCUACACACGUGCUACAAUGGGGUAUACAAAGAGCCGCAAUACCGCGAGGUGGAGCAAAUCUCAUAAAAUAUCUCCCAGUUCGGAUUGUUCUCUGCAACUCGAGAACAUGAAGUUGGAAUCGCUAGUAAUCGUAGAUCAGCAAUGCUACGGUGAAUACGUUCCCGGGUCUUGUACUCACCGCCCGUCACACCAUGGGAGUUGAAUUCAUUCGAAGCGGGGAUGCUAAAAUAGCUACCUUCCACAGUGGAUUUAGUAACUAGGGUGAAGUCGUAACAAGGUAACC
This 995-nucleotide ribosomal RNA is filed under the name uncultured Campylobacterota bacterium. Its description in RNAcentral is "bacterial SSU rRNA". It matches the Rfam family "Bacterial small subunit ribosomal RNA", at positions 505 to 1501 of the family's 1533-position model. Lineage: Bacteria; Pseudomonadati; Campylobacterota. The record is from RNAcentral.